This 433-nucleotide long non-coding RNA is filed under the name Homo sapiens (human). RNAcentral describes it as "HSALNT0367500". Lineage: Eukaryota; Metazoa; Chordata; Mammalia; Primates; Hominidae. The record is from RNAcentral.
GACAUUUUCCCACCACACCAGUGGCUACUCCCACUUGCACUAGGAGCGCUGUGACACCCCAACUUGUGGGGCAGAGGUCAGGCCCAGAGUGCUGAAGUGCUGAAGCUCCUGUAGAAGGUCCUUCCAUGUGUCUUUCAGAUCCUGGGCUUGGCCUUCUCCAUAACCAUCACCCAGCACAUCCACUGGACUGGGUCUUGCUCUGUCAUCCAGACUGGAGUACAGUGGUGCAACCACGGCUCACUGCAGCCUUGAACUCCUGGGCUCAAGCAAUCCUCCUACCUCAGCCUCCAUAGCAGUCGGGACCACAGGACACUGACAGAGGAUGCAGGAGGAGGAAACGUCACUUACCCUCUGGUAAUACACAUGGGCCAGGACUCCCGCCACCAGCUCAACCAGGAAGAUGACGAGCAACAGGCAGAAAUACUAGCAGCAA